This 400-nucleotide long non-coding RNA is filed under the name Malus domestica (apple). Its description in RNAcentral is "long non-coding RNA (MDOM_LNC012042)". Lineage: Eukaryota; Viridiplantae; Streptophyta; Magnoliopsida; Rosales; Rosaceae. The record is from RNAcentral.
ACUUACAUUCUUUACUACAAUUGAUACAAGAGGGUUUAAUUUGUGUGUUAAAGUUAAUUUUUGCAUCAGUAGGACUUCUUGUGAUUGAUAAUUGUAAUUUCACUUAAGGCGAACAUCACACUCUUAAGGAUUGCAUGGCUUUUCAAAAUGUUUUCACAAUACUUAAUGAGUCUUUCAUGUUCAUAUUUGAUCUGAACAUUACACACGGAUUACAUGUUAGAUAUACGUUCUAGCUCGAAUAUCAUGAGCCUAACCUUCAAAAUUGCAUGUGUUAACUCAUAAAUAAUUGAUAGGAUUAUAUAGGAUUGUUAAUGGUGAAUGAAAAAAUCUAAUACCUUUACAUUUGAUUUUUCCAAACGAUUUUCUUUCUUUUUGUUGUCGAGCUUUACUAAAAUUACUU